GACGAACGCUGGCGGCGUGCUUAACACAUGCAAGUCGAACGGAAAGGCCCUGCUUUUGUGGGGUGCUCGAGUGGCGAACGGGUGAGUAACACGUGAGUAACCUGCCCUUGACUUUGGGAUAACUUCAGGAAACUGGGGCUAAUACCGGAUAGGAGCUCCUGCUGCAUGGUGGGGGUUGGAAAGUUUCGGCGGUCGGGGAUGGAUUCGCGGCUUAUCAGCUUGUUGGUGGGGUAGUGGCUUACCAAGGCUUUGACGGGUAGACGGCCUGAGAGGGUGACCGGCCACCUUGGGACUGAGAUACGGCCCAGACUCCUACGGGGGGCAGCAGUGGGGAAUAUUGCACAAUGGUCGGAAGCCUGAUGCAGCAACGCCGCGUGCGGGAUGACGGCCUUCGGGUUGUAAACCGCUUUCGCCUGUGACGAAGCGUGAGUGACGGUAAUGAGUAAAGAAGCACCGGCUAACUACGUG
RNAcentral lists this ribosomal RNA (468 nucleotides) under uncultured bacterium. Its description in RNAcentral is "partial 16S ribosomal RNA". It matches the Rfam family "Bacterial small subunit ribosomal RNA", at positions 28 to 507 of the family's 1533-position model. The record is from RNAcentral.